RNAcentral lists this ribosomal RNA (330 nucleotides) under uncultured eukaryote. Its description in RNAcentral is "partial 18S ribosomal RNA". It matches the Rfam family "Eukaryotic small subunit ribosomal RNA", at positions 1470 to 1796 of the family's 1831-position model. The record is from RNAcentral.
CCCUCAGAUGUUCUGGGCCGCACGCGCGCUACACUGAUGAAUUCAACGAGCUCCUAACCUAGGCCGAAGGGUCCGGGUAAUCUUUGAAAUUUCAUCGUGAUGGGGAUAGAUUAUUGCAAUUAUUAAUCUUCAACGAGGAAUUCCUAGUAAGCGCGAGUCAUCAGCUCGCGUUGAUUACGUCCCUGCCCUUUGUACACACCGCCCGUCGCUCCUACCGAUUGAAUGGUCCGGUGAAAUGUUCGGACCGCGACAAGGCGGACGGUUCGCUGUCAGCUUUGCUGCGGGAAGUUCAUUAAACCUUAUCAUUUAGAGGAAGGAGAAGUCGUAACA